RNAcentral lists this small RNA (20 nucleotides) under Arabidopsis thaliana (thale cress). RNAcentral's name for it is "ATSL003160". Lineage: Eukaryota; Viridiplantae; Streptophyta; Magnoliopsida; Brassicales; Brassicaceae. The record is from RNAcentral.
UCCUCUUCUCCGUACUCUCU